This 484-nucleotide ribosomal RNA is filed under the name uncultured bacterium. RNAcentral's name for it is "partial 16S ribosomal RNA". It matches the Rfam family "Bacterial small subunit ribosomal RNA", at positions 30 to 507 of the family's 1533-position model. The record is from RNAcentral.
AUUGAACGCUGGCGGCAGGCCUAACACAUGCAAGUCGAGCGGAUGAAGGGAGCUUGCUCCUGGAUUCAGCGGCGGACGGGUGUGUAAUGCCUAGGAAUCUGCCUGGUAGUGGGGGAUAACGUCCGGGAACGGGCGCUAAUACCGCAUACGACCUGAGGGAGAAAGUGGGUGAUCUUCGGACCUCACGCUAUCAGAUGAGCCUAGGUCGGAUUAGCUAGUUGGUGGGGUAAAGGCCUACCAAGGCGACGAUCCGUAACUGGUCGGAGAGGAUGAUCAGUCACACUGGAACUGAGACACGGCCAAGACUCCUAGGGGAGGCAGCAGAGGGGAAUAUUGGACAAUGGGCGAAAGCCUGAUCCAGCCAGGCCGGGUGUGUGAAGAAGGUCUUCGGAUUGUAAAGCACUUUAAGUUGGGAGGAAGGGCAGUAAGUUAAUACCUUGCUGUUUUGACGUUACCAACAGAAUAAGCACCGGCUAACUUCGUG